ACCAAUUCUGGGGGAUGAUUAGUUCCUCUUGGCAUAAUGGCUCAGACGCUAUAUCAAUACAUGUGGUCAUCCUGAUUAUUGGCUUCGUUUUUCAUGUCAUUUGAUCCUGGAAACGCCACAGAUAUUU
Molecule: small nucleolar RNA, 127 nt
Organism: Hibiscus syriacus
Lineage: Eukaryota; Viridiplantae; Streptophyta; Magnoliopsida; Malvales; Malvaceae
Source: RefSeq, a predicted model, not a curated record